GCUUAGGACAACUACAAGACUGGAGCGACACUGCCAUACUGUUUGGUUUUUUUGCAAGAAAAAAAAGAACACUCCUCUGAUAUUUUAAGAGGAUCUUCAAUAAGAAACCUUAACAGUGGGAAUCUAAAUUGAGCGUUUCAUGUUGUGAAGUGGUGGCUAAUGAUGUUUUCUAGUUUCCCGCUCUGAAAACGAAUCCGCUGCUGUCAUUUGUCGUCUAUAUUGACCAUUACAGCCGUUUGAAGUAUUUAAGUCUCUUAUCAUAUUGAGCCGAAGAUGAAGGACCGACUGGAACAACUAAAAUCGAAGUCGGAUCAGACUGCCGAUGAUGUGGAAAUUCCGAUGGAAAAUAAAGAAUUCAUGGAUGAGUUCUUUGCUCAGAUUGAAGAAAUCCGCACCAGUAUUGACAAGAUUGAUGAAAAUGUAGUGGAGAUCAAGCGACUGUAUUCUGUUAUUCUCUCUGCGCCAACAUCAGAGCAGAAGACACAGGAUGAAUUGGAAGCAGUUACCAAUGAGAUAAAGAAACUGGCCAACAAUGCUCGCAAUAAACUAAAAAGCAUUGAGCAGAAUUUGGCAGCUAACACCGAGGAGAGGGUUUCAGCUGAUAUGCGGAUAAAAAAAUCUCAGCAUGCCAUUCUUGCGAAGAAGUUUGUAGAGGUGAUGACCAAAUACAAUGAAGCCCAAGUGGAGUUUAGAGAGAAGAGCAAAGGACGCAUUCAAAGACAACUGGAGAUCACUGGAAAAGCCACUACUGAUGAGGAACUGGAGGAAAUGCUGGAUGGAGGGAACGCUGCGGUUUUCACAGCAGGAAUUAUGGAUUCUGGAAUAUCUAAACAGGCCCUAAGUGAGAUCGAGGCAAGACACAAAGAUAUCAUGCGCCUGGAGAGCAGCAUAAAAGAGCUUCAUGACAUGUUUGUGGACAUCGCGGUGCUGGUGGAGAAUCAGGGAAGCAUGAUUGACAGGAUUGAGAGCAACAUGGACCAGUCGGUGGGUUUUGUGGAAAGAGCUGUGGCUGACACUAAAAAAGCUGCCAAGUUCCAACAGGAAGCACGCAGGGGUUUUUUUUCUUCUUCUUAUUAUUAUUCAUUACCCUUUGAUUUCUUCUGUUUUUUUACUUCUCUUCUUGCACUGAUGUCUUGUUUCUUCUACGUGAUUUCAACUCUGCUUUCUACACAUUUCCCAAUCAUCCUUUCCCUUUGCUUCCCUUCACUGUCUUUAUAUCCUGAUCACUUACACCCCUGCAGAAAAAGAUGAUGAUCAUGUUGUGUUGCACAAUUCUUGCGGUCAUCGGAGGCUCUCUGGUCUACAGCUGGCUGACAUAGACUACAAGAGGAAGACUUUGUCUACUCUUACAAGUUCACAGUGUCUAUCAACAAAUCAAGAGGAGCAUCCUCGUGCCGAUGAACAAUAAGCAUUCCCAAACACACAACAUGUUUUCCAUUGCUUGUUUAUCUCAUUUUCCCAUCUCUAUAUUUGUCUUUUACGAUUUUCCUGUCUCAUCAUUUGGCCUUGCGUUAUUAGAAGCAUCACAGUAAAAUGUGGUGUGCAAGCUAUCUUUUAGGGUUGUGGUAUAAAUAUUUGCUUUUAUUUUUAGUUGGUUUUGGAUAUAGCCUGUAUGAGGAUAACAUUUUUGUUUUUCGAGGCCUCAUUUUUAUAACUGACAAGUGAAACAUCCUGAUGAAUACUGGUGCCCGCUUACAUUGUGUCUACAGUGUACAAAAUUUCUGAUAAUUAACAGUUUCUGUAAUUUGGGAUUCACAAGUGUUUUCUGUUUAUUUAUGGUUGUGAAUUGCAUUAUAGGAUGUUGAUCUCUGCUCUGUCCACUUUUGAUGUUGAAAAUUCAACUCUACUGUUUGACAAAGUGGCUUUCAUUGACAUUUUUGUAGUUUGAAAUAAUAUAAUCUAUAAGAAAUAAUGUAUAGAGAAAUAUAAGUC
Danio rerio (zebrafish) is the source of this 1932-nucleotide RNA transcript. It is a transcript of the gene named syntaxin 3a, with no coding region annotated. NCBI's taxonomy places the organism in Eukaryota, Metazoa, Chordata, Actinopteri, Cypriniformes, Danionidae. The record is from RefSeq and is marked validated.